Nomascus leucogenys (northern white-cheeked gibbon) is the source of this 2507-nucleotide RNA transcript. It is a transcript of the gene named dnaJ homolog subfamily A member 1 pseudogene, with no coding region annotated. The record is from RefSeq and is a predicted model, not a curated record. NCBI's taxonomy places the organism in Eukaryota, Metazoa, Chordata, Mammalia, Primates, Hylobatidae. The transcript has a single exon.
UUACAGGUGUGAGCCACUGCACCCAGCCCAUAUGCUAUAUUCUUAUGAAGCUAGAGAAAAGAAAAUAAAAUCAUGGGAACUUUCCAGAACACUCGGUGAGAGGCAGAGGAGUGGUAAAUGCCCGAGCUGCACACAGCUCUGCGCUCCUUCCCGCUCCCUCACACACCAGCCUCAGCCCGCACAGGCAGUAGAAGAUUGUGAAAGAAACAACUUAGCUACUCAGGAAGAACUGAAAAAGGCUUAUAGGAAACUGGCCUUGAAAUACCAUCCUAAGAAUACAAAUGAGAGUUUAAACAGUUUUCUCAAGCUUAUGAAGUUCUCUCUGAUGCAAAGAAAAGGGAAUUAUAUGACAAAGGAGAACAGGCAAUUAAAGAGGGUGGACCAGGUGGCGGUUUAGGCUCCCCCAUGGACAUCUUUGAUAUGUUUUUUUGGAGGAGGAGGAAGGAUGCACUGAGAAAGGAGAGGUAAAAAUGUUGUACAUCAGCUCUCAGUAACCCUAGAAGACUUAUAUAAUGGUGCAACAAGAAAACUGGCUCUGCAAAAUAAUGUGAUUUGUGACAAAUGUGAAGAUAGAGGAGGUAAGAAAGGAGCAGUAGAGUGCUGUCCCAAUUGCCGAGGUACUGGAAUGCAAAUAAGAAUUCAUCAGAUAGGACCUGGAAUGGUUCAGCAAAUUCAGUCUGUGUGCAUGGAGUGCCAGGGCCAUGGGGAGCGGAUCAGUCCUAAAGACAGAUGUAAAAGCUGCAACAGAAGGAAGAUAGUUUGAGAAAAGAAGAUUCUAGAAGUUCAUAUUGACAUUCUUCUCACCAGCUCCAGUAGCAGUGUAGCCAUCUCCUGUUUGGAGAGCUGCAGCAAGCACCUCCCAACACUUUAACCAAACAGAGUCAGAAGUGCUUCGUUCCUGAAUAAAAGAUGAAACAUGAAAAAAAAGAAAAAAGAAAAUAAAAUCAUAAGAAAAAAUAUAUUUACUAUUUAAUAAGUAGAAGUGGAUCAUCAUAAAGGUCUUCAUCCUCAUCAUCUUCAUGUUGAGCAGGCUGAGGAAGACAAGGGGCUGGUCUUGCCAUCUCAGGGGUGGAAAAAAACCCGUGUGUAAGGGGACUCACACAGUUCAAAUCCAUGUUGUUCAAGGGUCAAUUGUAAUUAUAUAUAAUUACAUAGUUUGUGCUGUGCUUAAGCAAUGGGAAGGAGAAACAGUAUAAACAAAAAUAUUUAGCCAAGAGCCUGGGUUUUAGUCCUCUAGUAACCGGCCACGCAACCUGGAUUUUUCUGGAUAUUUUGUAUUUUGUCUUAAAUAGUAUGGUAUUUAAAAAUUCUAGGAAUUCCCAUUUAUUAAGCAGACUACAUUCUGUAGCCACUAAAAUGUAUGAUAAACCAAAGCAAAAAUAUAUCAAAAUAUGCAAAAUGUUUAAUGCAUCAUAAACUUGGGAUGUAAUAAGAAAAAAUUAUACCUAUUUUGUGCAAAUGCACAACAACACUACCAGUAGUUGUAGGAUUACUGGUAAUUUUUUUCUAAGGUUGAAUGAAAAAAGUCUAAAAAUCCUUGAAAUUUGGAAUGCCAGACAAUUCUUCAUAUUUGUGUAUUAUUUUACAAACUGCUGUAGAUAUUUCAGCAUCAAUACCAUACAGGAAACAAGCUCAGGACUUCGUAGUUUUUUGGAUCAGGUUCCAUUCCGUAUAAACAAAAUCUAAACUCACAUCUAAUUCAGGGUAUAGUUUCAGUCAAUCUGACCACUUCUACAUCCACUUUAGUAUUCUGUAACUCACUGUAAGACCUCGGACAAAUAACCCCAAGGCUAGAGGAAGUGAGUAGAUGCUCUAAGAUAAUGGUGACCAAACCUGGAAUCACCUGGGGAAACUUUAAGGAUUACUGAGGAUGUCUGCGUUCCACCCCCAGACGGUGGUUUAAAUUUCAAAAUAACUUGAAAGAGUCCCAGGUGAUUUACAUUAACACAAAUUUGAGAACUACUCUUCCAACUAGUAACACUUUUAUUACUAACAAGUCGUGUCUUAAAGACACUACUUAAAAAUACUUUGAAGAGAAAAUUUCAAAUGGAGAACACCUUCAGUAAGAAACCACCAGUUUUAGAGUGAGAUGAUAAAUCAUGAAAUGCCAAAGUUUAAAAACCAUACUUUUAGUUUUAUUUCAGCCAUGUUAAUUCAUCCCCAAGCUGUGAGAAGUUAUGCUACUGGGUAGCUGGGUAAACCCAUCAGUUCUAUAUACUAUGUAAGGUUGACCUCUAGUGUUUCACAUACCUCAAACCAAUUAUUUUGUGCCUUAAGGAGAAAAAAAAUAACAAACUGAUCACAGAGAAGUUGUAUCUGUCACAUAUAUAAUACAUCAUGGUCAUAGUCACAUUACUGCCGUUAGGAAGUAUUUGCUUUUCAGGGCAAUUAAAAGUAAUGCCAUCUUAUUCACUGUCCUCUUCCCCCUUUGUUUCCUUUAAGAAGUGAAAGGAUACUACAAGAAAGCAAGCAUUCAAACCAUCAAAAAAUAAGACAAAUUAAGAUAU